GCCCGACGAAGCUUUAUGUCUUUCCCAAAAGCCUUCCGGUUUGAUUAUGUAAACGGAAUGAAUUUUCAACGGAAAGCUCUCCUAAAGAUCCCCACAAAGUUAAGAUUGCUAAAUGAGGGCAAUCGUGAACCAUCCGCAUGGUGGAGAAUUCAACUUUAUCAUGUCCUUUGUUCCAACGCUAAAUUUUUGUUGCGUGAAGCACGAAAAGCCAAGUCCAUGAUAAGAUUUAAAUGUAAUUACCUUGUAAAUCAAUCAAAUGGAACGCUAAUAAUCAUAUCUUUGAUGCCAGCUAA
Molecule: long non-coding RNA, 293 nt
Organism: Xenia sp. Carnegie-2017
Lineage: Eukaryota; Metazoa; Cnidaria; Anthozoa; Malacalcyonacea; Xeniidae
Exons: 2
Source: RefSeq, a predicted model, not a curated record